AGCAGCCGCGGUAAUUCCAGCUCCAAUAGCGUAUAUUAAAGUUGUUGCAGUUAAAAAGCUCGUAGUUGAAUUUCGGGGUCAGUAAGUUGGUCGUGCCACUGGUAUGUACUGGCUUUACUGAUUCCUCCUUCUUGUAGAACCGUAAUGCCAUUAAGUUGGUGUUGCGGGAAAACAGGACUGUUACUUUGAAAAAAUUAGAGUGUUUAAAGCAAGCUAACGCUUGAAUACAUUAGCAUGGAAUAAUGAAAUAGGACGAACGAUCCUAUUUUGUUGGUUUCUAGGAUUGACGUAAUGAUUAAUAGGGAUAGUUGGGGGCAUUAGUAUUCAAUUGUCAGAGGUGAAAUUCUUGGAUUUAUUGAAGACUAACUACUGCGAAAGCAUUUGCCAAGGAUGUUUUCAUUAAUCAAGAACGAAAGUUAGGGGAUCGAAGACGAUCAGAUACCGUCGUAGUCUUAACCAUAAACUAUGCCGACUAGGGAUCGGAUGAUGUUAAUUUUUUAAUGACUCAUUCGGCGCCUUA
This 520-nucleotide ribosomal RNA is filed under the name uncultured Glomus. RNAcentral's name for it is "SSU rRNA". It matches the Rfam family "Eukaryotic small subunit ribosomal RNA", at positions 569 to 1090 of the family's 1831-position model. The record is from RNAcentral. Lineage: Eukaryota; Fungi; Glomeromycota; Glomeromycetes; Glomerales; Glomeraceae.